This 261-nucleotide long non-coding RNA is filed under the name Homo sapiens (human). RNAcentral's name for it is "HSALNT0043913". The record is from RNAcentral. Lineage: Eukaryota; Metazoa; Chordata; Mammalia; Primates; Hominidae.
GAAAAAUUAACUUUGACCACAGCUUGAUACGUCAGUCAAGGAGCAGCAGAAAGGCAGUAUUGUGUGUGGUCAUGGAGAGCAUCCGAACCACACGACAGUGCUCACUGUCUGUGCAUGCUGGAAUUCGAGGGGAAGCAAUGCGGUUUCACUUUAUGGAUGAACAGAAUCCCAAGGGAAGGGACAAAGCUAUUGUUUUCCCAGCACAUACAACCAUAGCUUUCAGUGUUUUUGAACUCUUCAUAUACCUGGAUGGUGCCUUUG